Molecule: long non-coding RNA, 721 nt
Organism: Silurus meridionalis
Lineage: Eukaryota; Metazoa; Chordata; Actinopteri; Siluriformes; Siluridae
Exons: 3
Source: RefSeq, a predicted model, not a curated record
ACACACUGUGGGUCACUGCCUGGGGUCAUAAAGAUUCACACAUGGAGCCAAUCACAGUCAUCUGGAGGAUUUCCCUUUUUCUUUGCUAUUAAUAUAGCCUGCCUCUUGCCUCAUAUAAGGUAAAAGAAAGGUUUUUGCUCCCCAAGUGAUGCAUCCUUCAAAAGAGAGGUUUUCUUAGAAAACUCCCCCUAAGCAAACAGCGUCGUCCAUUUGAAAUGCACAGCUGCUAUAGUCAACUUCUUCACAUACUUGACACAUUAGCCCAGGCAGCAGCACCAUUCUGCCUAGGCUUUGUGUUGAAGACAGACCUUCAUAAUUUCACUUCUCUGCCAUUGAAAAUUCAAAGGUAAAGGAGCAGAUCUGGAGGGAUCAUGGAUAUAGUGUGUUUGAUGAACUGGGAUAUUUGUAUGCUGUCGUCCCCUCACUUUCACACGUUCACUCAGUCAGCUCUCUUCUCUCCCUAGUCUCUAUCUCUAGUAAAACAUGCCAGACUGCCCCUGGAUGGAGUUCUCUUCAAUUGGAGGCCUCUCUGUGCAACUGGGGAUGGUUUCUCAACAGCCUGGGAUCCAUGAAAUUAGAGUAAUGCUUUGAGGAUAAAUUUGGACUGUACUUAAUGUCAACAGACUGCUACACUGACUUGGGACUACAGUUUGCAUUUGAUUAUCACUGCUCACCUCAACAUCAUUUAGCUGUAAUAAAUGGGCAUUCUGUGUCACCCAGA